GUGCCAGCAGCCGCGGUAAUACGGAGGGUGCGAGCGUUAAUCGGAAUUACUGGGCGUAAAGCGCAGCCAGGCGGUUUGUUAAGCUAGAUGUGAAAGCCCCGGGCUCAACCUGGGAUGGUCAUUUAGAACUGGCAGACUAGAGUCUUGGAGAGGGGAGUGGAAUUCCAGGUGUAGCGGUGAAAUGCGUAGAUAUUCUGGAGGAACAUCAGUGGCGAAGGCGACUCCCCUGGCCAAAGACUGACGCUCAUGUGCGAAAGUGUGGUAGCGAACAGGAUUAGAUACCCCUGGUAGUCC
Molecule: ribosomal RNA, 294 nt
Filed under: uncultured microorganism
Description: partial 16S ribosomal RNA
Rfam family: Bacterial small subunit ribosomal RNA
Source: RNAcentral